CAGGCUUAACACAUGCAAGUCGAGGGGCAGCAUGGUCUUAGCUUGCUAAGGCCGAUGGCGACCGGCGCACGGGUGAGUAACACGUAUCCAACCUGCCGUCUACUCUUGGACAGCCUUCUGAAAGGAAGAUUAAUACAAGAUGGCAUCAUGAGUCCGCAUGUUCACAUGAUUAAAGGUAUUCCGGUAGACGAUGGGGAUGCGUUCCAUUAGAUAGUAGGCGGGGUAACGGCCCACCUAGUCUUCGAUGGAUAGGGGUUCUGAGAGGAAGGUCCCCCACAUUGGAACUGAGACACGGUCCAAACUCCUACGGGAGGCAGCAGUGAGGAAUAUUGGUCAAUGGGCGAGAGCCUGAACCAGCCAAGUAGCGUGAAGGAUGACUGCCCUAUGGGUUGUAAACUUCUUUUAUAAAGGAAUAAAGUCGGGUAUGGAUACCCGUUUGCAUGUACUUUAUGAAUAAGGAUCGGCUAACUCCGUGCCAGCAGCCGCGGUAAUACGGAGGAUCCGAGCGUUAUCCGGAUUUAUUGGGUUUAAAGGGAGCGCAGAUGGAUGUUUAAGUCAGUUGUGAAAGUUUGCGGCUCAACCGUAAAAUUGCAGUUGAUACUGGAUAUCUUGAGUGCAGUUGAGGCAGGCGGAAUUCGUGGUGUAGCGGUGAAAUGCUUAGAUAUCACGAAGAACUCCGAUUGCGAAGGCAGCCUGCUAAGCUGCAACUGACAUUGAGGCUCGAAAGUGUGGGUAUCAAACAGGAUUAGAUACCCUGGUAGUCCACACGGUAAACGAUGAAUACUCGCUGUUUGCGAUAUACUGCAAGCGGCCAAGCGAAAGCGUUAAGUAUUCCACCUGGGGAGUACGCCGGCAACGGUGAAACUCAAAGGAAUUGACGGGGGCCCGCACAAGCGGAGGAACAUGUGGUUUAAUUCGAUGAUACGCGAGGAACCUUACCCGGGCUUAAAUUGCAGAUGAAUUACGGUGAAAGCCGUAAGCCGCAAGGCAUCUGUGAAGGUGCUGCAUGGUUGUCGUCAGCUCGUGCCGUGAGGUGUCGGCUUAAGUGCCAUAACGAGCGCAACCCUUGUUGUCAGUUACUAACAGGUUCCGCUGAGGACUCUGACAAGACUGCCAUCGUAAGAUGUGAGGAAGGUGGGGAUGACGUCAAAUCAGCACGGCCCUUACGUCCGGGGCUACACACGUGUUACAAUGGGGGGUACAGAGGGCCGCUACCACGCGAGUGGAUGCCAAUCCCCAAAACCUCUCUCAGUUCGGACUGGAGUCUGCAACCCGACUCCACGAAGCUGGAUUCGCUAGUAAUCGCGCAUCAGCCACGGCGCGGUGAAUACGUUCCCGGGCCUUGUACACACCGCCCGUCAAGCCAUGGGAGCCGGGGGUACCUGAAGUGCGUAACCGCGAGGAGCGCCCUAGGGUAAAACUGGUGACUGGGGCUAAG
RNAcentral lists this ribosomal RNA (1438 nucleotides) under uncultured organism. RNAcentral's name for it is "16S ribosomal RNA". It matches the Rfam family "Bacterial small subunit ribosomal RNA". The record is from RNAcentral.